RNAcentral lists this ribosomal RNA (516 nucleotides) under uncultured bacterium. RNAcentral's name for it is "bacterial SSU rRNA". It matches the Rfam family "Bacterial small subunit ribosomal RNA", at positions 1 to 538 of the family's 1533-position model. The record is from RNAcentral.
UAGUAUGGCGCAGGUGCGAAUCGCCCUUAAGUUGAUCCUGGUCAGGACUACGCUGACGGUAUGCUUAUACAUGCAGUCGAACGGUAAGGCCUCUUCGGAGGUACACGAGUGGCGGACGGGUGAGUAACACGUAGGAAUCUGCCCCAGAGUGGGGGACAACUGGAAGAAAUCCAGCUAAUACCCCAUAUGAAGCAAUUUGAAAGACUUCGGUCGCUUUGGGAGGAGCCUGCGCUUGAUUAGUUUGUUGGUGUGGUAAAAGCGCACCAAGACUACGAUCAAUAGCUGGUCUGAGAGGAUGAUCAGCCGCAAUGGGACUGAGAUACGGCCCAUACUCCUACGGGAGGCAGCAGUAGGGAAUCUUGCGCAAUGGACGAAAGUCUGACGCAGCAAUACCGUGUGUGGGAAGACGCUUUGUGGAGUGUAAACCACUGUCAGAAGGGACGAAUUUGACUGUACCUUCAAAGGAAGCACCGGCUAACUCCGUGCCAGCAGCCGCGGUAAUACGGGGGGUGCUAG